Molecule: ribosomal RNA, 466 nt
Filed under: uncultured bacterium
Lineage: Bacteria
Description: partial 16S ribosomal RNA
Rfam family: Bacterial small subunit ribosomal RNA
Source: RNAcentral
GACGAACGCUGGCGGCGCGCCUAACACAUGCAAGUCGAACGAGCGAGCGAGAGCUUGCUUUCUUGAGCGAGUGGCGAACGGGUGAGUAACGCGUGAGGAACCUGCCUCAAAGAGGGGGACAACAGUUGGAAACGACUGCUAAUACCGCAUAAGCCCACGACCCGGCCUCGGGUUGAGGGAAAAGGAGCCAUCCGCUUUGGGAUGGCCUCGCGUCCGAUUAGCUGGUUGGUGUGGUAACGGCCCACCAAGGCGACGAUCGGUAGCCGGACUGGGAGGUUGAACGGCGACAUUGGGAGUGAGACACGGCCGAGACUCCUACGGGAGGCAGCAGUGGGGAAUAGUGCACAAUGGGGGGAAUGCGGAUGCAGCGACGCCGCGUGGAGGAAGAAGGUAGUCGGAUUGGAAACUCCUGUUGUUGAGGAAGAUAAUGACGGUACUCAACAAGGAAGUGACGGCUAACUACGUG